RNAcentral lists this ribosomal RNA (1079 nucleotides) under Salmonella enterica. RNAcentral describes it as "bacterial SSU rRNA". It matches the Rfam family "Bacterial small subunit ribosomal RNA", at positions 1 to 1069 of the family's 1533-position model. The record is from RNAcentral. Lineage: Bacteria; Pseudomonadati; Pseudomonadota; Gammaproteobacteria; Enterobacterales; Enterobacteriaceae.
AAAUUGAAGAGUUUGAUCAUGGCUCAGAUUGAACGCUGGCGGCAGGCCUAACACAUGCAAGUCGAACGGUAACAGGAAGCAGCUUGCUGCUUCGCUGACGAGUGGCGGACGGGUGAGUAAUGUCUGGGAAACUGCCUGAUGGAGGGGGAUAACUACUGGAAACGGUGGCUAAUACCGCAUAACGUCGCAAGACCAAAGAGGGGGACCUUCGGGCCUCUUGCCAUCAGAUGUGCCCAGAUGGGAUUAGCUUGUUGGUGAGGUAACGGCUCACCAAGGCGACGAUCCCUAGCUGGUCUGAGAGGAUGACCAGCCACACUGGAACUGAGACACGGUCCAGACUCCUACGGGAGGCAGCAGUGGGGAAUAUUGCACAAUGGGCGCAAGCCUGAUGCAGCCAUGCCGCGUGUAUGAAGAAGGCCUUCGGGUUGUAAAGUACUUUCAGCGGGGAGGAAGGUGUUGUGGUUAAUAACCGCAGCAAUUGACGUUACCCGCAGAAGAAGCACCGGCUAACUCCGUGCCAGCAGCCGCGGUAAUACGGAGGGUGCAAGCGUUAAUCGGAAUUACUGGGCGUAAAGCGCACGCAGGCGGUCUGUCAAGUCGGAUGUGAAAUCCCCGGGCUCAACCUGGGAACUGCAUUCGAAACUGGCAGGCUUGAGUCUUGUAGAGGGGGGUAGAAUUCCAGGUGUAGCGGUGAAAUGCGUAGAGAUCUGGAGGAAUACCGGUGGCGAAGGCGGCCCCCUGGACAAAGACUGACGCUCAGGUGCGAAAGCGUGGGGAGCAAACAGGAUUAGAUACCCUGGUAGUCCACGCCGUAAACGAUGUCUACUUGGAGGUUGUGCCCUUGAGGCGUGGCUUCCGGAGCUAACGCGUUAAGUAGACCGCCUGGGGAGUACGGCCGCAAGGUUAAAACUCAAAUGAAUUGACGGGGGCCCGCACAAGCGGUGGAGCAUGUGGUUUAAUUCGAUGCAACGCGAAGAACCUUACCUGGUCUUGACAUCCACAGAACUUUCCAGAGAUGGAUUGGUGCCUUCGGGAACUGUGAGACAGGUGCUGCAUGGCUGUCGUCAGCUCGUGUUGUG